Molecule: long non-coding RNA, 3246 nt
Organism: Mastomys coucha (southern multimammate mouse)
Lineage: Eukaryota; Metazoa; Chordata; Mammalia; Rodentia; Muridae
Exons: 2
Source: RefSeq, a predicted model, not a curated record
AACCACCUUUUGGGGCUUCGCUACUCUAGCCCUUCAGGGACCUCCCUCCCAUUCUCUCCCUUUAUUCUUGCGUCAAGGACAGCCAGUGCAUGGUCAGCAGAGUGUGGGAGGCGUUGGCUGCGGCUACACGCAGCGCCUUCCCUAGGCUGCGACCGCUACGUCGUGGCCUGGUCCUUGCGUAGCUGCUUAUAAAGAUUUAAGUUUCAGCCUUGCUCCUCUUGACCAUACUUCCAGUCUCCCGGCUCCUAUAUACCUCUGAAAUGCAGGAAUUGAUGCGUUGGGCCAGCCUAAAGUGAAUGGGGAACCGGAGAUCAUUUCUUCCAAGGCGUUAAAUUCUUAUAUUUAUGCCCGAAAGUCCUUUACUGGAGCUGCAUGCAUUUUUAUGUGCGUGGCUCAGCCCGUGCUAACGCGGAUUCCUGACUUCCAAUUCCAGGUGGAAUUCCUUGCUAGUCAGCCUUGGCCUCUAGAAAUCCAGAGGGUAGUUUUUGUUAAAAGGAGACCGAGAGAAGACAAAUUUUAAGAGGUGGGAGACAGGGUGGAGUGCGUUGGUGGAAUGUUGGGGGAAGGGUGGACUUGCAAACUCUGGAAACUCCACAGAAUCUAAGGAGAGGCUCGGAUUCUGCUGCGAGGUGAGAUGAGCGGUAGAGAGCUGAGGUCUGAUGGAAGGAAGGCAGUUUAAUAAGGAGUGGCCCUAUCUAACCCUGGCCUGGGACCACGCCCUCAGUAUUCUAUCCGCUUCCGCGGAAGGCUGGGAGGGAGUCAGACAGACCUGUUAGAGCACAGGGAAGGAAGACGCUCUGAGGGCCGUAAGGAACGGUGUCUCGAAAGUAUCAGCAAGCUGCCGUCUAGAUGAGCAUAGCUUCAGCCUAGGGGUAGGACCGACCGGCCCUCCUCUUUCUCUUUGCUCUCAGCCCCGCAGCUCAGAGCACCAGGCUCAUAUCUCAUCUCUUCUCGGAGUGUGGCUGCAGUACCUGGACUUUUGUGGUUUUUUUAACCUCAAGUGUGAGUGACUGACUCUAAUCUCUUGCACACAAUCCGGGAGUGUACCCUGAACUGGAACUCUGUCCUGGAUCCAACUCUUGCAGGCUUCACAGGGAGGAGCAGGCUCUGGAGGCCCAACCUUGGGAAGGCACCACGACUGCAGUGCACUGGGGCCAAGUGGUGGACUUAAAGUCGGCAGUUUCGGAUUGGCCUGAGAAAAAGUUCCAGAAGCACUAGAAGCUUUGUAAGAAUGUGCUGGCUGGAAAAGAAGCGAGCUCUGCGUCCCCGGGAGUAUGCAAGCCUGGGCUAAACAACUUGGAGAGCAUGUAGGCCGUACUCUGUAAUUUGGAAGACCUGGGGGCUGCAGGUUUGUUCCAUAAGGAGGGGAUGGCUGUGCCUCUACCCAAGUUGGCCCUCAAGGACACCGUCACCCUCUCCCAGUACCACUACACUCUGCCUUAGACUUCCCCAUUCACUUUAUUUUCGAGUCUGUGGAGGGAGAAAGCAGAAAAGGCCCGGUUCCCCGCCCGCGCGUCGCUUCCUUUCCCGCUCCCUCUGCAGCACUUAAAAUGUAAAUGCACAUCGUGAUUAGCCGCGGGGUCGCUAAUUACAGCUGAAGCCAUUCAUUACGCUGUCAGCUCUCUCUCUGUCUCCCACCGGCUGUGCGCUCCCUCCCGGCCGGGGGGAGGGGGCAGCGGAGGAGGUGAUGGGGGGAAGGAUGCGGGGACUGCUCGGUGCUGGCAGCCUUAAAGCCCAGAACUAGCAGAGGGGCGGUGAGCCGAAGAAAGCGGUUGGACCGUGAAGAGGGAGAAACGCGGGAGGCUGGAAGGAAGAUUAAGUGAGGAGGAUGAAGAGGAAGGUGGAGAGUGGCAGAAUCAGCUUUUCUGAAUGCUCUCUGGAUAGCGUCCUCCUUCACAUCCUGUAGAGUCGGGCUCCUGAUAAACAACGUCAUUUCACUGCUGCACAGCCCCUUAGGGUCUGCUGAACUGGAAAGACACCUGCAAAAAGAAAAAAAGAAACAACCAAGUCUCCCUCAUGGAGGUCACCUCUCUUCAUUACAGUUGCCCCUGUCUCUUGGAUACUGAGAGUGGAUACAGCUCUUUCAUAAACCAUCCCUGACAGCACCAUCUCGCACCCUGCCAUCCCAGAACAGAGUCCCAAAUCAAGCUAGAUGAUGCUGGGUUCCUCCCAGUACUUGGUCAGAUUCCCUUUAUGACAGUGAGUGUCCCCAGUCGCCAGCCAGCAGGUAAUUAACUGUAUUUCCUUCUCUUGAGUGGAAGAUGAAGUUAAUCAAACCUACUGUUUUGAAGAAAAUCACCAAGCACCUUGAUCUAUUCUGGCAGACAGCAUAUUUUAUAUAUUUGAACAAUGGGAAAGAACAUAUUUUGCUUUCAGAAUGGCUGGAAGAAUUCUCUCUGCCCCCAGAUGACCCAGGCUUGCUGAUUAAUGAUCUGUCCGGUGACCCUCACCUCAGGACAGAUAGAAAUGGUUUUGUUUUAAUGUUUUUAUCUUCUAUUAUUGAGUGUGUGUGUUCGGUAUGAUGUAUGUGCAUGUCGGGGUCAGAGGACGACUCUGUGGAAUUGGUUCUGUCCUUCCAACGUUAGUGGGUUUCAGGGAUCGAACAAUCUGACUCAGGCUGCCCGACAGGCUUCGUUUGCCCUUAAUUGUGGAACCAACCUGCUAGUGCUGGGAUUAAAGGUGUGUGCCACCACUGCCUGAUUUAUAUUUAUAACUCUUACAUGUUACUUUUACCUUAAUAACAUUUCAGGGUAAUGAAACAAACUGGAAAAAAACCAUUUUGUUCAAAUUUUGGCCGUGUAAAACAACCAUCUGUUACAGUCUCAGAUUCUGUGGACUGAGAAUUUAGGCAGUACAUAGAGAGGGUGGACUGUCUUUUUUCGGUGACAUCUGAGGUUUCAGCUAGGGGAUGCCAAGGCUGGAAGCUAUGAUAAUCUAAAUACUGGUGAAGGCUGUUGGCUGAUGCCGAGGGGUGGGAGUUUUCAAUCUGCAUGUAGUCCUUCUGCUUGGAUUACCUUGGACUUGUGACAGCAUGCCCGGAUGCUGAGGAUGAAGAGCUGGUAAGAGAAUGAGAGCCAAGCUGUGAGCCCAGGCCAUCUUUUGGUCCAGGUUUGGGUGUCAUCUGUAGCUCCUGUCUCAUGCCCUCACAAAGGAUAUUAUGAAGCUCUGCCCAGGCUCUCAGGAAGAAGGAGUAGGCUCCACUUUUUCCUCCUUUUUUUUUAAUUAAUAAAAAAUGUUUGGCUUUGA